UCCGGGGGGGGCAAGCGUUGUUCGGAAUUAUUGGGCGUAAAGGGUUCGUAGGCGGUCGACUCAGUCAGACGUGAAAUCCCUCGGCUUAACCGGGGAACUGCGUCUGAUACUGGUUGGCUUGAGUGCAGGAGAGGAAUGCGGAAUUCCAGGUGUAGCGGUGAAAUGCGUAGAUAUCUGGAGGAACACCGGUGGCGAAGGCGGCAUUCUGGACUGUAACUGACGCCGAGGAACGAAAGCCAGGGGAGCAAACGGG
This 253-nucleotide ribosomal RNA is filed under the name uncultured bacterium. Its description in RNAcentral is "partial 16S ribosomal RNA". It matches the Rfam family "Bacterial small subunit ribosomal RNA", at positions 524 to 776 of the family's 1533-position model. The record is from RNAcentral.